Molecule: ribosomal RNA, 28 nt
Filed under: mycorrhizal fungal sp. MM70
Lineage: Eukaryota; Fungi
Description: partial 18S ribosomal RNA
Source: RNAcentral
AAAGUUCGUAGGUGAACUGCGGAGGAUC